RNAcentral lists this ribosomal RNA (357 nucleotides) under Gymnomeniidae sp. 2-SB FSB-2019. Its description in RNAcentral is "partial large subunit ribosomal RNA". The record is from RNAcentral. Lineage: Eukaryota; Metazoa; Mollusca; Solenogastres; Pholidoskepia; Gymnomeniidae.
GGRGUAAUUYUAAACGGCCGSGGAAUUUUAACCGUGCUAAGGUAGCAUAAUCAUUUGUCUUUUAAUUAAAGACUUGUAUGAAUGGUUUAAUGAAAUAAAGCUAUCUCUAAAAUAUUAAAUAAAAAUUAUUUUUAAAGUGAAAAAUCUUUAAUAAAAUAAAAAGACAAAAAGACCCUAUAGAGUUUAAUUUAUCCGUAUAGACACAUAUAUAUAUAAAUUUAGUUGGGGCAACUAAUGAAAAAAAAAAUUUCUUUUAAAAAAAAAAAAUAAAAUCAUUAAUUUAAUACUAUAAAACAAAUUACCUUAGGGGUAACAGCGUAAUUUUUUUUAARAGCUCAAAUCGAARAAAAAAAUUAC